Lathyrus oleraceus (garden pea) is the source of this 2350-nucleotide long non-coding RNA. RefSeq lists it as uncharacterized. The record is from RefSeq and is a predicted model, not a curated record. The transcript is spliced from 6 exons. Lineage: Eukaryota; Viridiplantae; Streptophyta; Magnoliopsida; Fabales; Fabaceae.
CUUUCCAUUUUGAACACCAAAAAUUUAAAGCAAGACAACCGAACAAAUGGAAGCUUCAAGGAAGAUGAAAUGGAGAAAUGAAAAUAGAAACUCGAAAGGAAAAUUAACCGGUUGCGGCGAGAUUGACCCGAUGGAUGUAGUCCCACUGCUAGGGUUUUGCAUUGGCCGCUAAGAUCAAAGGGAUGUCGGACUUGGAAGUGCUUUUGGUGCCGCCAGUUUGUCUACCCUGUUUUGGUGCUUAUUCUGAAAAAGGCAUCAAGAAGACCAUGAUUCCAAAGUUUGAUCAAGAAUAAUGUCCAACACUAAUGUAGAGCUCGGGAUGAGAUCAACUCUUCUGCAUGAUGCUUCGAAAAUGCCUCACAAGCCCACGAACAAGAAAGCUAAUCAACAUACCUGCUCCUUGUCGAGCGCGAACUAUAGAUGCAUCUUCCAGCAUAGGGAUAGCAUUUUCAACCAAAGCUCCCAUGACUUUCACAAUCAUUGACUGGACCAUGGAAGUUGUUGGUGAAUAUCUUGCUGUUGUUGAGGCUCGAGCUGGCGUUGUUCAACCUGCAGUUCGAAAAGACGUUCCAAAUCUGACCCGGGAGUCUGCAUCAUUUGCUGGAUGCCAGAGUUAAUACUUUGAGAUGGAGAGAAACCAGGAAAUCUAUCUAAAUCUGACCCAUUAAGAUGUGAAGGGAAAUGAUUAGGUGUAUUAGUCUGCUGCUGAAGCUGUUCCGCUUGUGGCUGCUGAAAUUGUUCCGCCUGCUACUGCUGAUGAUGAAGCCGCUCAGCCUGCUGAUGAUGAUGAAGUCGUUCAGCCUGCUGCUGCUGAUGAAGUCGUUCAGCCUGCUACUGCUGCUGCUGCUGAAGAUGUUCCUUCUGCAGCUUCUGCAACAUUAGAUGGUCUGCCACAUCAAAAUUAUUAAACUUUUGUCCCAUUCGAGACAAGAACUAGUCUUCUAAUGAACCUUCUUGCUGAUUAGGAUUAAAAUGCCUAUUUAUCCCAUAUUCAUCAGUCCAUGUAUCCCUGAAAGACAGAUUUACCAUGCCACCCAUAGAUCUCUGAUCAGUAAAAUGAGCAUCUCUAUCAUUUAAUGGAUCAGUAAAAUGGCCAUGGUCCCUUUUAAUACGCUUCAAGACUGAUAACAUGUCACCUCCUUUUCAACAUCAAGAUGUAUUACUAGAGCAAGGGCUUCUCAAAGAACAGCAUGGGAAGCAUUUUUUUUAUUGUUAUAAUUCAUUUCUAGUGCAGAGAAAGAUGCGGUGAUGAUCAGAAAAAAUAACUGUUGUUACGGAGAAAACUCAAGUGUUUUUGCUCUUCAAAUUGCAGGUAGUAGGACCUCACAUUUGCCUUGUGUUUGUAACCUGAAUUAUGCUGCUUUCUCACAGAUGGAGAAUCGUGAGUCAAAUAGGUAUCGCAAUAGUCACAAUAGUACUGAGGCAUCGCUGUUUGAAUUUAAUUGCAGUUUCCAGUUCAAUCAAUUUUCCUUGGAGAACUAUACAUUUGACUUCAGCUUCUACAUUUGAUAGAAACAGUCCUGCCCCGUCUCUUCAAACACUUUCCAACAAUUGCUCUAGCCUUACGACCUCAAGUCGACACUCACUUUCAUGCAAGCAAGAAGAAUUGCUGACAUUUUCUGUCCUACUCUUGUGUUUUAAGCUCUGAUAUUGUUAGACUAUUUUGAUCAAUUAGUGCUUUACACUGAGCAGUAUACACUGCUAACUCAGACUUUAGGUAGUCAAGACUCGUGGAUAAUGUCAUAUUUUCUUCCAUGCAAUUCAGUUCUCUACAAAGACAUGCAUUCAAUUCAGAUUAUACAUCAAGAUUAUUUUCACAAAGCACAUCAACUUUUCUGCAAGCAGAAUGAAGCUUCUCAAUAAGUGGGUUUCCAAACCACUAAGAGAAGAGGAGUCCACUAAAGCAUCUUCAAGACGUUUCUCAGAUAUCUGUAGAAGAUCUGAAAUUCUUGAUUUUUUCAAAUUCUACAUCUGUGACCAGUUGCUUGAGAUGGACCAGCUCCUGCCUGUUCAUAUCAGAAUCCUACUGCUGGGGUCAAUGAACUCGCCGCUUUAAUUAGACGGUCGAUAGGCUGCUCAAUAAUAGUUGAUUUUCCUGAAGGGGGCGCUAAUGCAUUACCAUGAGCACCAUCUGGACUGGUGAACUCUGCCAGUAAAGGAGAGGCUGAUAUUCCAGGAGUUCCGAUGGCAAGUGAUUGAGCAGGUGCUGCUGCAGAUGGAUCAACUUCUUCAUCACUUAUGCUUACUACUGUGUCAAUAAGUCGCUGGUUAACAUCCCUAAUUUCUUCCAAAAGGGCAUGAUUAGCCUCAAUCGUUGGCUUUUUGAUAUUGGAUGUUGCAGUUGACUCCA